This 433-nucleotide ribosomal RNA is filed under the name uncultured bacterium. Its description in RNAcentral is "partial 16S ribosomal RNA". It matches the Rfam family "Bacterial small subunit ribosomal RNA", at positions 29 to 507 of the family's 1533-position model. The record is from RNAcentral.
AGCGAACGCUGGCGGCAGGCUUAACACAUGCAAGUCGAGCGGGCGCUUCGGGGUUAGCGGCAGACGGGUGAGUAACACGUGGGAACGUACCCUUUGGUUUGGCAUAACGUUGGGAAUAUCGCCCUAAUACCGGCUAUGCUCUUUCGGGGAAAGGCUUGCUGCAGAAGGGUCGGCUUUCGCCUGAUUAGUAACGUGGUGGGGUAAUGCUCUAUCAAGGCGACGAUUAGUAAAUGGUUCGCGAGGAUGAGCAGCGACACUGGGGCGGAGACACGGCCCAGACUCAUACGCGAGGCAGCAAUGCCUAAUCUAGUGCUAUGGGCAGAAGGCAGAUCCACUCGUGCCGCGUAAGUGAUGGAGGCUUGAGGGUUGUAAAGCUCUUUUGUCCGGGACGAUAAUGACGGUACCGAAAGAAUAAGCCCCGGCUAACUUCGUG